Molecule: non-coding RNA, 411 nt
Organism: Schizosaccharomyces pombe (fission yeast)
Lineage: Eukaryota; Fungi; Ascomycota; Schizosaccharomycetes; Schizosaccharomycetales; Schizosaccharomycetaceae
Source: the annotation of a GenBank genome assembly
ACAGAAAUAAAUAAACAGAGAAAAUGUUUUUAAGCACACGCUUGACGAAAUACCACUAUUUUAUUUAAAUGUUGGAGGGGUAAAGCAUGACUCGGAGAGAAGAGCCAAAAGUUUUAGCAGGCAAGUUGUGAACGAAGCGAGCACGAACAGCACCGGAGUUUCCAUGAGGACGAGCAAUGGUACUAAAACGAUAAGUUAGCAAAAUAGAACGAAGAAAUAACUCAUAAAAACAAGAAAAAUUAUAGAAAUAACAAAAUAAAUUAUAUAUUUUGUUUGAAAAUCAAUCAAAUGAAAGUGGAAAAACUUCAACCGGUACAGACAAUGAUCAACUCCUUUUCUCUUUGCUUUUCUUGUAAUAUAAAUUUCACUUACCCCCAGAUAACACGAAUCUUGGAUCCACGGACGGCCUUG